AAAACAAAGCCGUAAACUAAAGCUAAUCGAAGAAUCAAAAGCAACACAAAGCAAGCAAAGCAACACAAAGCAACAUAAGCAAAACAAAGCUGUAAACUGUAGCUAAUCGAAGAAUCAAAAGCAACACAAAGCAAGCAAAGCAACACAAAGC
This 151-nucleotide small RNA is filed under the name Arabidopsis thaliana (thale cress). RNAcentral describes it as "ATSL088520". Lineage: Eukaryota; Viridiplantae; Streptophyta; Magnoliopsida; Brassicales; Brassicaceae. The record is from RNAcentral.